This 23124-nucleotide long non-coding RNA is filed under the name Nicotiana tabacum (common tobacco). RNAcentral's name for it is "long non-coding RNA (NTAB_LNC008016)". Lineage: Eukaryota; Viridiplantae; Streptophyta; Magnoliopsida; Solanales; Solanaceae. The record is from RNAcentral.
UCUUUUACUGUUUUUAGUUAUCAAUUAAACUUGAAAGCAUGCCUACGUUUCUGCACUAUUAUUUCUAUAUUGAACUGUGCCGGUUGAGUUCGUCACUACCUUUCAGUCCAAAGGUUGGAUUGGUUACUUAUUGAGUUGGUUGUACUCACACUACAUCCUGAACCUCGUGUUCUUUUAUCUAUUUCUUCUCUUGCUAGUUACACAAGAAAUCUAUAACAUACUACAAUACUUGUUUGAAGUAGAACAAAGAGAUUGAUAAUGGUUCGAUCAAAGUAUAUUCUUCCUUGGCACCUUCUAUACAAUAUAUAAAUAGUCAGUCUCCAUUCUUUACGGCGUGAUAGCAACUCAAGGGAGUUGAUUCUCAUAAUCAAUCAAGAUGAUUUUCUUCCAAGAAUAGAAUGGACUUUCUUUUCGUUUCUUCCUUGAUUUCCUUUUCCUUGCAAGUCGUUGAGAUGAAUAUUCUUUGUUAUGCGUGAUAGAAUAUUCUAUGUAGAUCUUUUCUAUGGAAUGAUUAAUCUUCUAUACUGAUUGAUUGAUUCUUACAUUAAAUAGUUGACUUGGGUAUCUGUUUUCCAUAAAACUCGCGGUCACAGCAAUUUUACUCCUUGAUUCGUGCCUUUGGAUCUUGACUUGCACGUUUGUCUCAUUGAUUCUUGCUUUCAGAUCUUAUGCUAGAACCUUUCCAAUUCUUGUGACAUCGUUCUUUGGAAUUAGUUUCCUGCAAGUAGAAUUAAGUUAUUGUCUAUCAUUAAAACAUAUAUCUAACAACUUUAUGAGAAGAAGCGCAAAUAUAUUCCAGUAUCUAUUUGGGAGAGCUGGAAGUCUCGCUGGGAGAGUGAGGCUUUUAAAGCCCAGUUCGCGCAAUACUCAAGGAAUCGAUUAGUGAGAAAGGUGGUGAAGGAUCUGGUCCCUCAGGUCAUACAUGAGGCUCCAGAGCUCACUGAGAAUAUGCAAGACUACUGGCAUAUUUAUUUUUCUUUAGCCAAGUUAUAAUAUCUCCAAAGCUAGUCAUUAUGUAUUAAUAUAGUAAUUGUGAUUUUCAAUUUUAGUCUAAAGAGCUAGGAAGACCGCCUCAUCCACAUGAGCUACACAUGUCAAAGCGAACAAGGAGUUUCUGGACGAGAAAUUUAAGAGCACAUAUGUAAGUUACUAUAGCUUGGUUGUCAUUUCUUGACAAGUAAAAGUAAAGCACCUAUCUUGGCUACUAGUUCUGGAAACGCAAACUAAAUAUAAUAAAGGUUUCAUGGUAAGUCAUAUACAAAUAAACUAACUUCUGGUACUUUUAAUAAAGAAAAAAAAUAUUUCAGAUUGCAUUUUUCUCCUUUUAAUAAUAUCUUUAGCUACUGAAGUAGCCUUCAAAUCUGGAGUGACCUCUAAAAACAUGGAGAUGUGCUAAUGAGCUUAUAUUUUAGAAAACUUUUCUCAUGUCUUUGACAUCAUCUCUUUCCAUGUAUGUUUUUCUCAUCGCCAGAUGAUUCUUUGAGCUCUUUUAAAUUUUUUUCUUCUAAUUUUUUGUAUUUAAAAGUGCUCAUUUGUCCUUUGGAUUUAUAGAAUAUAGAUAUUCCUCCAAGAAAACAUUUUUGCAUACGAUAAUUAGAUUUAUAGAGCAUCUGCUUGAUAAGGUAUGUGCACCAUUAUAUUGUUUAUACACUUGCAUAUUCUUCUAUUUUUUUUGGGUUUUAUAUCUUAAUAUUUUUCAUUUUUCCUCUUAAAGUAGUAUAUUAUCUGUGUCAUUGAAAUUCCUCUGAGAUUUAUAAUUGCAGUCUUUAUUAAGAAUAUUAGGUUCUGUAGCUGUGUCUAAUACUGUGUUUUGAUUUCUUAAAGGCAUAUGAUCUUCUCCGCAUUUUCUUUGUGACUGAUUGUUCCAUUGUAGCAGUAAUUUUCUCUUUAGUAUCUUUAUAACCUGUCUUGACUGAUUCUUCGUACAAUUGUAUCAUAAAAUGAGAGUGUAACACAACCUUUGUGUGCUCCUUAAUUAGUUAUUUUAUCUAUAGAAUAACAAAACCUAUUGGAUUUAUGAACAUGAGUUAGACUUCCAUUUUGCUUUACCUUUGAGAUUUUAUAAAUCUGCACAUUUAAGUUAUAGAACCUGUCACUGUUGAAAAUUGUUACUUCUUUAUCAGAAAGUAUAACAAGUUGAUGACAAACAAGUAAUGCAAUUUGUAGGGAAAAAUAUUGUUGUGUACAUCAAAAUAAUUGUUUUUAAGGUGUUAUUAUUGACAUGUAAGUUUUCAGUUUUCUUGCCUUUCUGAUUAUUUCUUGAUGUUUUCUCUUUCAAAAUUUAUUAUUAUAGAUUGUAUAUCAUGUUUAUGAUGACCCAAAAAGUCAUCUUAUAUUUUAAAACUCGAUUCGAUGUUUCGAGGCCUUAAAGACCUUAUUUUAUUCCUUCUCGAUUUGCAUGCGCAGUUUGGGCGUGUUAUCGAAAAGCUUUUAUGUUGAAAGUUGAUAAAAAUAAUAAUUUUUGCCUUUAAAAGUUAAUUUAGUUGACUUCGGUCAACGUUUUGAGUAAACGGAUCCAGACUAGUAUUGUGACAGUUUCGGUAGGUCCGUAAUGAAAUAUGAGACCUGGGCGUAUGCCUGAAAUCAAAUUCCAAGGUCUCUAGCUCGAGAUAUAAAUUUUUGUUAAAAAUUAAAAGACUAAAAAUCUAAUGGUUUUAAGAAUUUGGUUAAUGUUUGAUCUUAUUGGUAUCAGGUUCGUAUUUUGGUUCUGGAGCCCGGUACAGGUUCAUUAUGAUAUUUAAGGCUUAUCUAUAAAAUUUGGUGAGAAACGGAGUUGUUUGACGUGAUUCGAACGUCCGAUUGUGAAAAUAGAGGUUUUAACACUUUCUUGAAAAUUUCAUUCAAUUUAGUGCUAAAUUGGUAGUUAUAGGUGUUAUUUUGGCGAUUUGAUGCGCGAGCAAGUUCGUAUGAUGUCUUAGGACUUGUAUGCAUAUUUAGUUUGGAACCCCGAGGGCUCGGGUGAGUUUCAGAUAGGCUACGAGAUGUUUAGAACUUAGAAAAUCUGAUAUUUUUGGCAUCAGCUGAUAUCUGGUGUGCCUUUCAUCGCGUUCGGGGAGGUACUCUCGGGAACGCAAAAGGUAAAAUGGGGGAAGGGGUAUUUUCUUCUUUGCGAACGCGAAGGACUGGUCGCGAACGUGGAGAAUUGGGGGCAUUACCUUUCGCGAACGCGACCAGGAUCUCACGAACGUGUAGGCAUGGGACCUGGGGGAGGGAAAGUGACCUAUACUCUUCGUGAACGCGGCACAUGGCUCGCGAACGCGUAGGCUGGUGGAAAUAACCCUUCACAAACGCAAAGAGUAUCCCACGAACGCAUAGGCUAAUUGAGCCGCUGCUUCGCGAUCGUGGCAGACCCUUCGGGAACGCGAAGAAGGUUUGACGCCAGUGAUUUAAAACAAACAAGAAUCAGAAUUUUCUCAAAAUUUCACAAUUCUUUCAUUCGAACUCGACCUAGGAGCGAUUUUGAAGAGGGGAUUCAACACGAAAUCAUAGGUUGGUACUCUUAACUCUUUUUCUUCCAUUUCUAACAUCACCCAUUGAAUUCCUAGCCCUAAUCUUUGUUCUUCCAUGUUAGAAAACUAGGGAUUUAGGAAGAAUUGGGGAUUUAAACCACAAUUUGGGGUCGGAUUCCAAAACCAAUUAUAUAUCUGGGCUUGAAUGUAAAUGUGUAAAUGGAUUUUAGUCCGAACCUCGGGUUUUAACCAAGGAGGCCCGGGGUCGGUUUUUUACUUUUUGGAUGAAAGUUUGAUAAAUCUAAAUUUAUGCAUUGUAGUUGGUUCCUUUAGCAAUAAUUGAUGUUACUAAGUUAAUUGUGACUAGAUACAAGUGGUUUGGAGGUAGAAACUAGAGGAAAAGUAGUAAUUGAGCAUUGAGUGGCCCACGGAGCGAGGUAAGUAUUGUGUCUAACUUUGACUCGAGGGAUUAGGAAUCCUUGACUUAUUUGCUAUAUGAAAUCCAUGUGAGCGGUGUAUAGGUGAGGUGACGAGUACCUAUGCACCGCCAAUAUAUCUGUUUUGCCUGUUUUCUUCCCGUUCUUCUUAUAUUCCAUGUAAUUAGGCAUGGAAUUACAUGUUUUACUUGUAAUUCCAUGCCUAAUUGUUAUUUGAUAGACAUUGUAUCUUUUAUUAGAAGAGUUCAUAGCUUCAUUAUUGUUUGAGCUGGUUACUGGUACAUUCAAGGCAUAUUAAGGAUUGGUCUCGUUGAGUUGUAUUACUUGUGUAAAGUCUCAUAGUGCAUAAUCUUUCUAAAUGCUUUGGUUUGACUUGUGAGGAGUUAUGUGAUUUGAAUUGUGUAAUUUAUGUACCUGCUGAGUAAAUGAUAUUGAUAUGGUGGGAUCGAGUUGAGCGUCGCAACAGGUGUAAUAAGAGUGGAUUGUGGUGAGAUAAGGGGUGAAGUAUGGUUGUGGUUAUUGUGAUAUGGUAGGAUCGGGUUGCACACCGCAACAAGUGUAAUAAGGGUGGAUUGUUGAGAAAUAAGGGUGAACUGUGAUUGUGAUUAUCGUGAUAUGGUGGGAUCGGGUUGCACGCCGCAACAAACUUUAGGCUAAUAUUUUCCCUUGAUUGUGUUAGCUGAACGGUAGUCUUAAACUGUACUUAAGGAUUGGCUAUAGCUGAGCACUGAUGAUAUGUUUCGAGAACUGUAUUCAUUCCUUGCAAGUUACUGCUUUAUUUUAUCAUGUCCUUCUUUAUGCUUUUAUUAUACACUGUAUGCAGGUUAUAUUGUAAAUACUCUGUCGUAGCCUCGUCACUACCUCGUCGAGGUUAGGCUCGGCACUGACUAGUACAUGGGGUCGGUUGUAUCGAUACUGCACUCUGCACUUUCUGUGCAGAUUUUAGAGUACUAGGUUACCUAGGUAUCAUAGCACUAGUUUACCUAGGUCUCACAAUUCACGAACAAGCUUAGUAGAGUCUGAAGGAUCGGUACGGAGACGUCUGUGCUUAUCCCGCAGAGGCUACAGAAUUUAGGAACAAUUAAACUUAUAUUCUUCUCUUUCGUGCGAUUUUGUCCUUUCAAUGCUAAUUGAACUCUCUACUCUUGCUCUUUCGUAGAUGACGAGAACACGUACCGCUUCUUCAGCUGAGCAGCAAUUGAGCCCCUAGUGGCAACUCCUACGAGGGAUAAAGGAUGAGGCCGAGGCCGUGCCAAAGGCCAAGACAGGGGCAGGGCUCAGCCCAAAGCUCGAGCAGUAGCACCAGCGGCGGAGCCUCAGGUAGAGUUUGAUGAGGAGGCUCUAGCCCAGACCGUUCCAGUAGGGCGAACUCAGGUUUUAGAGGGGUUCAUCACUACCCCGAUACUUCAGGAUGAUUUGGUCCGUCUAGUGGGACUCAUGGAGAGUGUGGCAUAGGCCAGCACAUUUCUUGUAGCACCAGCUGUCUCUCAGGCUGGUGGAGGAGCACAAACUUCCGCUACCCACACUCUGUAGCAGAUGGCUCCUCAGUUUCAAACUCUAGCAGCUCAGCUUGUUGGGGUAGUUCCGUUGGGUGUUGCAGCACAGAUCGACGAUGGAUCGGCUAUGUCUUUUGAGGCUUUGUGGAGAUUGUAUAGGUUUACCAAACAUUUCCCAUUUCACUAUAACGGUGCAUCUUCGGAGGAUCCCCGGGACUAUCUAGACAGCUAUCACAAGGUGUUACGGAACAUGGGGAUAGUGGUGACCAAUGCGGUUGACUUUGAUAUAUUUCGUCUGUCGGGAUCUGCCAAGAAAUGGUAGAGGGAUUAUAUGUUGGCCAGACCAGCUGGUUCGCCACCUCUUAAUUGGGACCAGUUCUCUCAGGUAUUUCUUGAGAAGUAUCUUUCUAUCACUCAAGGAGAGGACUACCGGAGGCAGUUCGAGCAUUUGCAGCAGGGUUCUAUGACUGUCACUUAGUACAAGACUCGAUUUGUGGAUCUGGAUGGUCACGCUAUUCUCCUACUUCCUACCGAGAGAGAGAGAGGGUGAGUAGGUUUAUUGAGGAACUUGUUAAGCCUAUCAGAUUGCAGAUGGUUAAGGAGACUGGGAGUGAGAUUUCUUUCCACGAUGCAGCCAGCGUUGCCAGGUGAGUUGAGAUGGUUUUAGAUCAAGGGAGUGGUCAGGGGUCUGACAAGAGGCCGCAUCACUCUGGUGGAUUCAGUGGGGCCUCAUCUGGAGGUCGAGGUACUUUUGGUAGAGGCCAUCAUCCCAAGCCGUUUCAUUCACCACUCCAGGCAUCCCAUGGUGCUUCAGGUGGUCGUGGUCCUCACAUGCAUUAUUCAGAUCAGCUAGCCUAUAGUGCACCACCAGCUCCUAUCAGUGCACCUCCUAUUCAGAGUUAUUACCGUGGUCAACCAGCCUGUUCGGGUCAGUCUCAGUUUCUACAACCAUAUUAUCAGGAUGGAUGCUUCUAGUGUGGUGGCUAUGGGCAUAUCAGGAGGACCUAUCAGAGAUUAUUGGGCGUUCUGCCACAGUAACAGAGUUCUUGUACCAUGAUUCCAGCACCGAAUGUGCCACAACCCCCUCAGCCAGUUAGAGGUAGGGAUUAGGGAGCCAGAGGUAGAGGUCAGACCGCUAGAGGUGGAGGUCAGGCCGUUAGAGGUGAAGGCUAGGCUGCUAGAGGUGGAGGCUAGCCAGCAGGAGACCGUCUCAGAGAUAUGGUUCGGAGUGGUGGGGCCCAGCCCCGAUGUUAUGCUUUUCCAACCAGGCUUGAGGCUGAGUCAUCUAAUGUUGUUAUCAUAGGUACUAUUUCAGUUUGCAAUAGAGAUGCUUCAGUUCUAUUUGAUCUAGGGUCUACAUACUCCUAUGUGUCAUCUUACUUUGUUUCAUAUUUGGUUGUGCCCUGUGAUUCCUUGGGUGCCCAUGUAUAUGUGUCUGCACCAGUGGGGGGUUCUAAUGUUGUAGAUCGUGUUUAUCGUUCAUGCGUAGUUAUUAUUAGGGGUCUUGAGUCUAGUGUAUAUCUCCUACUUCUCGAUAUGGUUGAUUUUGAUGUCAUUUUGGUGAUGGAUUGGUUGUCACCUUAUCAUGCUAUAUUGAAUUGUCACGCCAAAAUAGUGACCUUAGCCUUGUCGGGGUUGCCUCGAUUAGAGUGGAGGGGGAUUCUUGGUCAUUCUACCAGCAGUGUUAUCUCUUAUAUAAAGGAUCGGCGUAUGGUCGAGAAGGGGUAUCUAGCUUAUUUAGCUUAUGUCCGUGGCUCUAGUGGAGGUUCCUUCCAUGGAUUCGGUACCAAUUGUUCGAGAGUUUCUAGAGGUAUUUUCUAUAGACCUGUCGGGGAUGCCACCCAAUAGGGAUAUUGACUUCUGUAUUAAUUUGUUCUGGGCACUUGGCCCAUUUCUAUUCUGCCAUAUCGUAUGGCCCCGCUAGAGUUUAAAGAGCUGAAGGAGCAGUUGCAAGAUUUUCUUGAUAAGGGCUUUAUUAAACCUAGUGUCUCGCCUUGGGGUGCGCCCGUGUUGUUUGUAAAGAAGAAGGAUGGGUCAAUGAAGAUGUGCAUAGAUUAUCGGUAGUUGAACAAAGUCACUAUCAAGAACAAGUAUCUAUUGUCGAGGAUUGAUGACUUAUUUGAUCAGCUUCAGGGUUCCAAAGUGUUUUCAAAGAUCAAUCUGAGGUCUGGCUACCAUUAGGUGAGGAUUAGGGCAUCCGAUGUCCCUAAGACAGCUUUUCGGACUCGAUAUGGGCAUUCUGAGUUCCUGGUGAUGUCAUUUGGCUUGACAAAUGCCCCAGCAGCAUUUAUGAAUUUGAUGAACCGAGUGUUCAAGCCUUACCUGGAUUCCUUUGUGAUUGUGUUUAUUGAUGAUAUCUUGAUCUACUCCCGUAGCCGAGAGGAGGAUGAGCAUCAUCUUCGGAUCGUACUUUAGACUCUGAGAGACAGCCAGUUAUAUGCUAUGUUUUCAAAAUGUGAGUUUUGGUUAAGUUCAAUUGUUUUCUUGGGUCACUUUGUAUCAGUAGAGGGUAUUCAGAUGGAUCCUAAGAAGAUUAAGGCCAUUCAGAAUUGGCCUAGACCUAUUUCAGCUAUAGAGAUCUGUAGUUUCUUGGGAUUGGCAAGUUAUUACCGUCGGUUUGUGGAGGGUUUCUCAUCUAUAGCAGCCCCGUUGACCAGGUUGACCCAUAAUGGUGCCCCGUUCAGAUGGUCAGACGAGUGUGAGGUGAGCUUUCAAAAUCUCAAGACAGUUUUGACUACGACGCCGGUGUUGGUGUUGCCCAUAAGUUCAGGGCCUAUACAGUAUAUUAUGACACAUCUCGUAUUGGACUUGGUGUGGUAUCGAUGCAGGGUGGCAAGGUUAUUUCAUAUGUUCUAUGGCAGCUAAAGGUUUACAAGAAGAAUUAUCCUUUAUAAGACUUGGAGCUGGCAGCCAUUGUUCAUGCGCUGAAGAUUUGGAGGCACUAUCUAUAUGGUGUGUGGUGUGAGGUGUUCACGGAUCAUAAGAGUUUACAAUAUUUGUUCAAGCAGAAAGAGCUAAAUUUGAGGCAGAGGAGGUGGUUGGAGCUAUUGAAAGACUAUGAUAUCACCAUCUUGUAUCAUCCUAGGAAGGCCAAUGUGGUGGCCGAUGCUUUGAGUAGGAAGUCAGCUAGUAUGGGCAGUCUUGCGUACAUUUCAGUCGGUGAGAGACCGCUUGCAUUAGAUGUUCAAGCCUUAGCCAAUCAGUUCGUGAGGUUGGAUGUUUCUGAACCCAGUCGUGUUUUAGCUUGCACAGUCACUCGGUCUUUCUUGUUUGAGCGUAUCAGGGAGUGGCAGUAUGAUGACCCUCAUUUGCUUGUCCUUAGGGACAUAGUGCGGCACGGUGAUGUUAGAUCGGAUUUUAAUGAUGAAAUAAUAUAUUUUUCUUUGUAUAGGAACUCCUAGAUAGGAUUCAAGAUUGAAGGAAUCAAACAGAGAAGAUCAAGGAACUCAUGGAUGGCAUACAAGAUUGAAGGAAUCAAUCAGAGAGAAUCAAGGAAAGCGGACGAGAUUAAAGGAAUCAUUGAUACUAACGGAAUCAAUUAAGGCUAGACUGAAGGAAUUAAAUCAAUCAAGAGUAUCAAAGAUCUUGCAAGAUAAUCAAUCAAGUAUACUAAAUUAGGAAGGAUCAAGAUUCAAGGAUCACGCAUAAGGAAAGUCAUUAAAGCCUCUCGUUAAGACAAAGCCGUUGCUGAAUAACCUUAUUCUUGGAAAGAAUCAAUCUCUUUCCAAGGAUCAAAUCUCCUUGGUUGGAAAAUCUUUCCAGAAUUCAAGCCUCUCUCAAAGUAUUUAAACUUGUAUCUGUACCUUUGCACAUAUACUUUGAUCGAACCAAAUACCCUUUCUUUGUUCUACUACAAACAAACAUUAUAGCUCUACUAGACCUGCUAUGUAACAAGUUAGAGAAGAAAGAGAGACCAACAAUGGUGAGGCAUUGUAUCAAAAAAAACGAGUGAUAUAGGAACUGAGCUAUCGGUGUAGAUCACACCAUUCACUCUGUACUCGAGAAACUCAUUUGCUGAAAGAGAACUCAUUUGCAACCCAAGGGGACUGGACUAGGAUUCACAUUGAAUCCGAACCAGUAUAAAAAUUCUUGUGUCUUUAAUUCCUGCAUUUAAUUUUUGCAUCUUGAACUCUAUCAUUACUGUUAUCAAGUUAUUAUAUCUAGUCGACUAAUUAGAAAACUAGUCAACUGGUAGCAACUAUUUUUAAAAAUAAAUAAUUCACCUUAAUUGGUAUCAGAGCAAGGCUCACAUUUUUCUUUUGCUUAACAGCUUGUGAGAAAAGAUCAUGGAAAAUCAAGUUAUCAUAGGAGCACUCUUCCAAGAAGGAACUUCACAAGUAAGGCCACCAUACUUCAAUGGACAACAUUUCUCCCACUGGAAAGUGCGUAUGGAAAUAUAUGCAAUGGCUUAUGAUGUUAAAGUCUGGAGAGUUAUCAAAAAGGGAAACUAUCCUUUGCCGGUUGUCGCUCAACCAUUUACUGAUCCUGAAGAUAUAGAUUCAUAUACAGAUGAGAAAAUGGCAGUUGUACAAGUCAACAAUAAGGCGAGAAAUUUGCUCUAUAAUGCUAUAAGUGGUGAAGAGUAUGAGAAAAUCUCCAGUUAUGACACAGACAAAGAGAUGUGGGAUAAGCUUGAAGUUACAUACGAAGGAACCAGCAAAGGAAAGGAAACACAUAUCAACAUGUUGGUUCAUGAUUAUGAACCCUUUCAGAUGAAAGAAGAAGAAUCUAUUGAAGAGAUGUUUGCCAAAUUCAGUAAAAUCAUGAGCGAUCUAAAAGCUUUUGGCAAACCAUACUCAAGUGGUGAUCAAGUUAGAAAGAUUCUUAGAAACAUACCCACUACUUGGUAGACCAAAGUAGUCACACUUGAAUCACAUGAACUGAAUAAGUUAUCAUAUGAUGUACUUCGAGGAGAACUCAUAGCUUUCGAGAAAACACAUCUCAAUAAAAAAAACCAAGAAGAAAAGAAGAAAAUAUUUGCAUUCAAGGCCAUAACUGAAAUAGCUGAAAAUGAUAUCGAUGAUGAUCCUGAAGUUCUUAAAGAAGAAAUUGCUAUGAUGUCAAGAAACAUGGAUAGUUUAAUGAGAAGAUUCAGGAAUAUGAGAAGAGGAAGGAUUCCACCUAGGCGAUCCAGGCAAUAUAAUGAACAAGAUAAGAAUGAUGGGAAAUGCUAUGAGUGUGGAAGAUUUGGACAUAUUCAAGCUGAGUGUCCAGAUCUAAAAAGAAAAAACUCCAGAGGUUUCAACAAGAACAAAUCAUUUGGAAGCUGGAAUGAUGAAGACAGUUCAGAACACGAAGAAAUAGUAAAUCUUUGCUUCAUGACAAUUCUGUAAAAUGAUAUGAACAAACUUUCAGGAUGCUGGACAGAUGAGGACACUUGAGACGAGUGAAUACAAAGAUAACAAUGAGAACUAUUUCAUGGCACGAGGUGAAACAAGUGAGGUAAGGUUUUAUAACUGUAAAAGAUGUAAUGAAUUGCAGGAUAUUCUUGAUCUUACUUUGAAACAGUCUCAAAAAAUGAUGAAUGAACUAAAGAGACUCAACAAAGAAGUAAAAGACUGGAAGCUCAAACAUAAAGUAUGUGAAAUCGAAAAAGAAGUACUUAAAGAAAAGUUUUAGGAAUUGCAAAUGCAACUCAAUGGCAUGCGCAAAUCCACCAGUCAUAGUUCUACCAGGUCAAACCAAGCGACUUGCAAGUCAACUGGAGAAGGACCAUCCAGAACAGAGUACACUAGUACUAAUACUAAUGAAAGAUCCAAAAAUGGAUCAGGAGUUACGUGUGACUACUGCAACAAAAGUUGACCUAAAUAUUCCUUUUGUCGAUUUCAUAAGUCAAAUAUUCCAAGAUGGAUUUGGAAACCCAAAAACAAUUCUGAACCUAGCAGUACUAACCAACCAGGACCCAAGCAAGCUUAGGUACCUAAAAGAAAGUAAUUACUAUGUUUUGUAGGAACACCACAGGAGAAGUUGCAAAGGAAAAUGGUACCUAGAUAGUGCAUGUUCCUGUCACAUGACAGGUGAUAAAAACAUGUUCAAGGAAGUUACAAAAAUAGAUGGAGUAAGCGUUAAGUUUGGCAAUGAUUCAAAAGGAAAAUAGUCGGUACCGGAACAAUUCCCUUCAAUAACAACUGCGAUAUCAUUGAGGUUUAUCUUGUUGAUGGACUUAACUACAAUCUUUUGAGUAUAAGUCAGCUAUGCGACUCAGGAUAUGAGGUACAAUUUAAGAAAACAGGAUGCGCUAUUGAAGAUGAGAUAGGUAAAAUAAUCCUCCCACAUAAAAGGUAUGGAAAUGUUUACAUUCUUGAUGGUUUUGAAAAUAUAGAUUCAUAUCUGUUUAACAUCCAUAUCUGAUGAUCCUUGGUUAUGGCAUAGGAAACUUGGUCAUGCAAGCAUGCAUUUGAUAGAAAAACUUUCUAAGCAUGAGCUAGUUAUUGGUUUACCCAAACGGAAUUUCUCUAGAAAUCAUAUAUGUGACGCUUGUCAAAUUAGGAAACAAACUAGAAACUAUUUCAAAAACAAGGAUAUUGUAUCUGCCUCUAAUCCUUUGCAACUGCUUCAUAUGGAUUUAUUUGGGCCUACUAGAACUGCUAGCAUAGGAGGAAAACGAUAUGCUUUUGUUAUUGUUGAUGAUUACUCACGUUUUACUUGGGUGAUUUUCUUAUCUUAUAAAGAUGAAGUGUUGAAAAAUUUUAAGAGUUUCUGUAAGAAGGUUGAAAGGAAAAGGGGUAUCUGAUUACAACAAUCCAAAGUGAUCUUGGAGGAUAAUUUGAAAAUAGAGCAUUUGAAGACCUCUGUAAUGAUCAAGGAUAUACUCAUAAUCUUUUUGCACCAAGAUCACAACAACAGAAUGGAGUCAUUGAAAGGAAAAAUAGAACCCUACAAGAUAUGGCAAGAACUAUGUUACCAGAUCAUUCACUGUCAAAAUCAUUUCUGGGCAGAAGAAGUAAGUACAGUAUGUCACAUUCUCACCGAUGUCUCAUAAGGCCUAUUUUGAAGAAAACACCUUAUGAACUAUGGAAAGGUAAACGUCUUAAUAUCAGUUAUUUUCAUCUCUUUGGAAGUAAUUGUUUCAUUCACAAUAAUAGUAAGGACAAUCUUGGAUAAUUCGAUCCAAAAAGUGAUGAAGGUAUUUUUCUGGGUUAUUCAUUGAAUAGUAGAUCCUUUAGAGUCUAUAAUAAACGCACAUUAUGUGUGGAAGAAUCUGUAUAUGUUAUAUUUUAUGAAAGUAACUCCUCGACCGAGAAAGGAAUUACUGCAGGUGAUGAAGAUCAAGCUCAAGAAGUUCAAGAGACAAGCAAAUCUCAAAAAUCGACUGAUGGAUCUGAUGUUGCUAUAAAGUCAACUAGUGAAACCAGCAACAAUCCACCAGAACCUCCAAAGGAGUCAACUACUCAUAUAGUUCGUCCAAAUGAAUAAAAAGUGAACCUGAAUAUCCUCAAAAAUUCAUCAUAGGGGAUCCAAGAGAAGGAAUGAAAAUCAGGAGAGCUCUCAAAAAGAAAGCAAACAUAGCACUAAUCUCUCAGAUUGAGACAAAGAAUAUAUAAGAACCUCUAAAAGACUCAAGUUGGAUACAAUAGAUGUAGGAAAAGCUAGAUUAAUUCGACAAAAAUUAAUAUGGAAACUGAUACCCAAACCUGAAAGUGUUCCUGUAAUUGGAAUGGGUUGUCAGAAAUAAACAGAAUGAGGAUGGAAAAGUUGUAAGAAACAAAGCCAGAUUAGUUGCUCAAUGAUAUUCACAACAAUAAGGAGUUGACUAUGACGAAACUUUUGCCCUAGUAGCUCGACUGGAAUCUAUACGAAUCCUUCUGGCAUAUGCAUCCUUUUAGGGAUUCAGGCUAUUUUAUAUGGAUGUUAAAAGUGCAUUCUUGAAUGGUUUCAUUGAAGAGGAAGUAUACAUGAAACAACCUCCUGGGUUUGUAGAUUCAAAGUUUCCCUAUCAUGUGUAUAAGCUAACCAAAGCAUUGUAUGGACUAAAGCAACCUCCACCAGCAUGGUUCAAAAGACUCGGUUCAUUUCUUAUUAAUCAUGGUUUUACAAGAGGUAAAGUAAACACUACUCUGUUUAUUAAAAGAUUAUCAGAAGGUAAUCUCAUUAUUCAGAUUUAUAUUGAUGAUAUUAUAUUUGGUAGUUCUAAUCCUCUAAUGUGCAAGGAAUUUUCAAAUCUUAUGCAAAGUGAGUUCGAAAUGAGCAUGAUGGGAGAGCUAACAUUCUUCCUUGGACUUCAAAUCUAACAAUCUGAAGAAGGAACGUUAAUAUGUCAGACCAAAUAUACAAAGGAGUUGAUCCGAAAAUUCAGCAUGAGCAAUGCAAAAGCUAUUGGCACACCAAUGAGUCCUUCAACAAGUCUCGACAAAGACGAAUAAGGAAUUCAUGUUGAUGAAAUUAAGUAUCGUGGAAUGAUUGACUCACUUCUUUAUCUAACUGCUAGUCGACCGGAUAUUAUGUUUAGUGUUUGUAAAUGUGCUAGCUUUCAGUCAGCUCCUAAGAAAUCACAUCUGACUGCAGUAAAAAGAAUUAUUCAAUAUCUCAUUGGAACUAUCUCUCAUGGACUAUGGUAUCCUCGUUCUACCACGUUUAAAUUAGAAGAUUUUUCAUAUGCUGAUCUUGCAGGUGAUAAAGAAUAUAGAAAAAUCAUAAGUGGAACAUGUCAAUUACUUGCAAAGCAUUAAUAACUUGGAAUUGUAAAAAACAAGCAUCAGUUGCACUAUCUACUACUGAAGCUGAAUACAUUGCUAUUGGACAAUGCUGUGCACAAUUAUUAUGGAUGUCUCAUCAACUUGGUGAUUAUGAACUAUUGUUUAAGACUAUACCAAUGUCUUUCUAAAAAUCAAGUGCAUCAUUCUAGGGCAAAGCAUAUAGAUAUCAAGCAUUAGUUUAUUAGAGAUCGUGUUCUUAAAGGAAACAUAGAAAUAUCUUUUGUUGGAACAACUGAUCAAUUAGCAGAUAUUUUUACUAAGCCUUUAGUAGAAGAAAGAUUUUGCUCUCUAAGAGAAUUACUUGGCAUUAUUUGCAUUAACAGUUAGGACCUAUAUGCUAUUAUUUUGUUUUGUAUGCCUAAUGUUCUAUAUCUUUUCUUAAUCAUUAAUUACGCCUCUGAUUUCCCUCUCUUUUCACAUCAGUCGCAAAGUUGAAAGAAGGAAAGCCAAUCAUCACGUCUGAUCAACUGACGCAUUUUCCUUUUCUGUACUCAACCGUCAGAAACACUCUUUUUAAUGUUGAAACUCCUUUUCAAUCUCCAUUGUCCUUGUCGCCUAAAAACCCUUCUUAGAAGCAUUUCCCAAACAGAAAAUAUUUUCAAUGGCCAAACACCCCAAAAAUCCCUUUGCCUCCACUAGGAAAAGAACUCGCUCCAGAGCAAAACCCCCUUCUAUGCCCCCUUAACAGGUAGACCUAGGGUCCAAUCAUUCUGAGGGGUUUGCCUCUUCUCAGGCAAAUUUUUCUGAUCAUUCUCACCCUUUAGGAGAAAAAGCUUUGGGAAAAAGACCUAUGGAAGAACCCCUUGUUUCCUCCACUCCAAAGAAAUCAAAAAUAGAUCUUUCUAGUUCCCUAGAGUCGGACCUAAAUUUCUGGGAUUCUCCAAAUAGGGACUUUUUCAUCGCCCUGAAAAACAAGCCUAUUGCUCAUGGGAGGGUAGUCGACCUUGAUAACAUGGAAAACCUAAAUUGUAAGGUAAAAGAUCUUUUCGUUUAUCAAGGGUGGUCAAAGUUCUUUUCUGUUCCUCUGCCUAAAGUCUAUGAACCCCUUGUGAGAAUGUUUUAUGACAAUAUUCACUCUAAUAAGUUUGAUAAGUUGGAGUCUUUAGUGUUAUAAAGCGUAUUUUUUUAAUGUGCCUUGUGUGAUUCAAUCUUUCAGUGUAAAUGUUCUAGUUUCCCCAUGCUUUUCAAAAAUUCUUGGCCUGAUGAUUUUAAAAUUUCUUUUGAUCAAGCUAAAAGGUGUAUUAAUGAAUGUCCAUCUGAAUCUCUCCCAAACUAGUUAGGCCCUAGUGAUGUUAGUUUCAAAACUCGAGUUUUGGCCCACAUUGUUGUAACCACUCUGCUUCCUCGUACUAGCUCAUUCUCCACCUUCUUUCAAAGAGGCACCUUUCUGGUCUAUUGCCCUGUGACCAAACUUAAAAUCAAGUUGUCCUCCUAGGUCAUCAAUUUAUGAUUGAAAGUGCAAAUGAUCCCACUAGUCUACCAUAUGGUAUGGCCAUCACUCACAUUCUGGAAGCUCACAAUAUUUCCAUAUCUGCAUAUCCCUUUACCUCUGUUUCAAAAUCUUACAACUCUAUAGCUUUUGCGAGUAUGGGUUAUGUGUGUAUGAAGGGAUCAUGGGUUAAGAAACAAGAAGGAGAAGUCAAGAAUGCUCAAACAGACUCCAAACCCAAACCUUCCUUCCCAUCCUAGCCAUAGUGACCCUGACCUUGCUUAAAAGCUUAGUGCCAUUGACAAUCAGCUCUCUACAAUUAAAGAUCUUCUCAUUGCCACUCUGUCCACUGUUGGUACCAUUCAUGAUAUCUCCAAUGAAACAGGGCCUGAUGUUUCCAAGAUAAGAGUUGUGGUUCACAAAGUAAGGGAAAACACUAUCAAGGCAUUCAAGGAGGUUCAUGACAGGCUUGAUGGAAUGAAUGUUUUAGCCAAUGCCAGCUUUGAUCGAUUGAAGGAGGCAAUCUGCAAUACUCUUACCUAUUUUCUGCGUCGUUAAUGUGAAAUUUUAAGACAAUUUUUUUGCUGUGCUAUUUUUGGACUAAAAAAUCAGUUGGUGGAUAAUUUUUUUUCUUGUUGUUUUCUUUUGUUUUGAUACAACUCUGCCAACACAUCUUGUUAUAAAUCCUAUUUUCGUAUGUCAUCUGUUUUUCUAUUCCCUCUUUGCUGAUGUCUAAAAGUGGGAGAAAUGAUAUAUGUAUUGUACAGGUACAUACAAGAAUAAGUCGAUUGAAGGGUAAGUUACAAUACAAGAAUAAGUCGACUAAAGGGUAAGACAGCUUGGCACUUUUUGAGAGGGAGUCACAGAUCCUGCAUAAGAAGUCGACUACAUGAGCCUCAACAGCUCUCAUUGAGGGUGAGUAAAAUAUAGGGAAGUCAACUAAUGUUUAUACAUAUAUAUUAUUUUGUCAUCAUCAAAAAGGGGGAGAUUGUUAGAUCUGAUUUUAAUGAUGAAAAUAAUAUAUUUGUUCUUUGCAUAGGAACUCAUGGAUAGCAUUCAAAAUUGAAGGAAUCAACCAUAGAAGAUCAAGGAACUCAUGGAUGGAAUACAAGAUUGAAGGAAUCAAUCAGAGAAAAUCAAGGAAAGCAGACGAGAUUAAAGGAAUCAUUAAUACUGACGGAAUCAAUUAAGUCUAGACUGAAGGAAUCAAAUCAAUCAAGAGUAUCGAAGAUCUUGCAAGAUAAUUAAUCAAGUAUACUAAAUCUAGAAGGAUCAAGAUUCAAGGAUCACGAAUAAGGGAAGUCAUUGAAGCCUCUCGUCAAGACAAAGUCGUUGUUGAAUAACCUUAUUCUUGGAAAGAAUCAAUCUCUUUCCAAGGAUCAAAUCUCUUGGGUUGGCAAAUUUCUCCAGAAUUCAAGCCUCUCUCAAAGUAUUUAAACAUGUAUAUGUACCUUAGCACAUAUACUUUGAUCGAACCAAAUACCCUCUCUUUGUUCUACUACAAAUAAACAUUGUAGCUCUACUAGACCUACUAUGUAACAAGUUAGAGAAGAAAGAGAGACCAACACUGGUGAGGCAUUGUAUCAAAAGAAACGAGUGAUAUAGGAACUGAGCUAUCGGUGUAGAUCACACCAUUCACUGUGCAGUCGAGAAACUCAUUUACUAAAAGAGAACUCCCUUGCAACCCAAGGGGACUGGACUAGGAUUCACAUUGAAUCUGAACCAGUAUAAAAAUUCUGGUAUCUUUAAUUCCUGCAAUUAAUUUCUGCAUUUUGAAUUUUAUCAUUACUGUUAUCAAGUUAUUAUAUCUAGUCGAAUAAUUAUAAAACUAGUCAACUGGUAGCAACUAUUUUUAAAAAUUAACAAUUCACCCCCCCCCCUAUGUACUUCCAGGUGAUACCAAGCAGGUUACGGUUGGAGAUAAUGGAGUUUUGAGGAUGCAGGGUCGUGUUUGUGUGCCUAAUGAGGAUGGACUUCAUGAGUUGAUUCCUGAGGAAGGUCAUAGUUCCCGGUAUUCUAUUCACCUGGGCGCCACCAAGAUGUAUCAAGACUUGCGGUAGCAUUAUUGGUGGAGGAGGAUGCAGAAGGAUAUUGUUGCAUAUGUAGCUCGAUGUCCAAAUUGUCAGCAAGUAAAGUACGAGCAUUAGAGACCUGGUGGUUUGCUUUAGAGUAUAGAGAUUCCUGAGUGGAAGUGGGAGCGUAUCAUUAUGGAUUUCGUUGUUAGACUCCCAUGAACUUAGAGGAAGUUCGAUGUUGUUUGGGUUAUUGUGGAUAGACUGACCAAGUCAGCGCAUUUCAUUCCUGUGGCAGUUACCUAUUCUUCAGAGUGGUUGUUAGAGAUUUAUAUCCGUGAGAUAGUUCAUCUUUACGGUAUGCCCGUGUCUAUCAUUCUUUAUCAAGGUACGUAGUUUACCUCGCACUUGUGAAGGUUAAUACAGCGUGAGUUGGGUAUACGGGUUGAGUUGAGCACAACAUUUCAUCCUUAUACGGACGGAUAGUUCUGUGAGAUCGUUCGUCUUCACGGUGUACUCAUGUCUAUCAUUUCUGAUCGAGGUAUGCAGCUUACCUCGCACUUCUGGAGGGCAGUACAGCGUGAGUUGGGUAAGCGGGUUGAGUUGAGCACAAUAUUUCAUCCUCAGACUUUGGAGGAUCGUGGGAUCAGUUCUUGCCGCUAGCGGAGUUUUCCUACAACAAUAGCUAUCAGUCGAGCAUCCAGAUGGCUUUCUAUGAGGCAUUAUAUGGUAGACGGUAUCAGUUUCCGAUGGGAUGGUUUGGGUCGGGGGAGGCUCGGUUAUUGGGUAUAGAUUUGGUACAGGAUACCUUGGAUACGGUUAAGAUCAUUCAGGAUAGACUUCGCAUAUCUCAGUCCAAGCAGAAGAGGUAUGCCGACCGUAGGCUUCGUGAUGUGACAUUCAUGGUUGGAGAGAAAGUGUUGCUUUAGGUAUCCCCAAUGAAGUGUGUAAUGAGGUUUGGGAAGAAGGGCAAGUUGAGCCCUAGGUUUAUCGGGCCUUUUGAGAUCCUUGAGCGAGUGGGAGAGAUGGCCAACAGACUUGCAUUGCCACCAGGCUUAUAAGCGGUCCAUCCAGUGUUUCAUGUGUCCAUGCUUCGGAAGUAUUAAAGAGAUCCAUCCCACGUGUUAGAUUUAUGCACUGUCCAGUUGUCAAAGGUUUGACCUACGAGGAGGAGCCGGUAGCUAUUCUAGACCGACAGGUUCGUUAGUUGAGAUCGAAGAGUUAUCCUUCAAUUCAGGUGAAGUGGAGAGGUCAACCGGUUGAGGCAGCUACUUGGGAGUCCGAGUCUGAUAUACGAAGCAAAUAUCCCCACCUUUUCCAGUUCAGGUACUUUUCUAUGUCCGUUCGAGGACGAGCGGUUAUUUUAGAGGUGGAGAAUGUGAUGACCAAAAAGGUCAUCUUAUAUUUUAGAACUCGAUUCGGUGUUUCAAGGACUUUAAGACCUCAUUUUAUCCCUUCUCAAUUUGUGUGCGUAGUCCGAACGUGUUACUGGAAAGCUUUUAUGUUGAAAUUUGAUGAAAAUAAUAAUUUUUGCCUUUAAAAGUUGAUUUAGUUGACUUCGGUCAACAUUUUGAGUAAACGGAUUCGUAUUUUGAUAAUUCCGGUGGGUCCGUAAUGAAAUAUGGGACCUGGGCGUAUGCCCGUAAUUGAAUUCUGAGGUCCCUAGCUCGAGAUAUGAAAUUUUGGUAAAAAUUAAAAGACUGAAAAUCUAAUGGUUUUAAGAAUUUGGUUAAUGUUUGAUCUUGUUGGUAUCGGGUCCGUAUUUUGGUUCCGAAACUCGAUACAGGUUCAUUAUAAUAUUUAAUACAUGUCUNNNNNNNNNNNNNNNNNNNNNNNNNGUUUUAACACUUUCUUGAAAAUUUCAUUCAAUUUGGUGCUAAAUUCGUAGUUAUAGGUGUUAUUUUGGUGAUUUGAUCAUGCGACCAAGUUCGUAUGAUAUUUUAGUACUUGUGUGCAUGUUUGGUUUGGAGCCCUGAGGGCUCGGGUGAGUUUCGGAUAGGCUACGGGAUGUUUAGAACUUAGAAAAUCUGAGUUUUUUGGCUCCCGCUGAUAUCUGGUGUGCCCUUCAUCGCGUUCCCGGAGGUUGUCUCGCGAAUGCGAAAGGUAAAAUAGGGGUAGGGGUAUUUUCUUCUUUGCGAACGCGGAGUAUUGGGGGCAUUACCUUCCCGAACGCGACUAGGCUCUCGCGAACGCAUAGGCAUAGGACCUGGGGGAGGUGAAGUGACCUAUACCCUUCGCGAACGCGGCACAUGGCUCGCGAACACGUAGGCUGGUGGGAAUAAGCCUUAGCAAACGCAAAGAGUAUCUUGCAAACGCAUAGGCUAGUUGAGCCGUUGCUUCGCCAUCGCUUCAGACCCAUCGCGAACGCGAAGAAGGUCUGACGCCAGUGAUUUAAAACAUACCAGAAUCGGGAUUUUCUCAAAAUUUCACAAUUAUUUCAUUAUAACUCGACCUGGGAGAGAUUUUGAAGAGGGGAUUCAACACCAAAUCAUAGGUUUGUACUCUUUAACUCAUUUUCUUCCAUUUCUAACAUCACCCAUUGAAUUUCUAGCCCUAAUCUUUGUUCUUCCAUGGUAGAAAACUAGGGAUUUAGGAAGAAUUGAGAAUUUUUGCAAAUUAGGGAUUUAGACCUCGAUUUAAGGUCGGAUCCAAAACCAAUUAUAUAUUCAGUCUCGGGGAUGAAUGGGUAAAUAGAUUUUGGUCCGAACCUCGGGUUUUGACCAAGCGGGCCUGGGGUCGGUUUUUGACUUUUUAUGGAAAAGUUUGAGAAAUCUAAAUUUAUACAUUAUAGUUAAUUCCUUUAGCAAUAAUUGAUGUUAUUGAGUUAAUUGUAACUAGAUACAAGUGGUUUGGAGGUGAAAACUAGAGGGAAAACGGUAAUUGAGCGUUGAGUGGCCCGCGGAGCGAGGUAAGUGUUUUGUCUAACUUUGACACGAGGGAUUAGGAAUCCUUGACUUAUUUGCUAUAUGAAAUCCAUGUGAGCGGUGUAUAAGUGAGGUGACGAGUACCUAUGCACCGCCAAUUUAUCUGUUUUGCCUGUUUUCUUCCCGUUCUUCUUAUAUUGUCUUUUUCUGCCUUAACUACUACAUGUUUUACUUGUAAUUCCAUGCCUAAUUGUUAUUUGAUAGACAUUGUAUCUUUUAUUGGAAGUGUUCGUAGCUUCGUUGUCUCCUAUUAUUGUUUGAGCUGGUUACUGGUACUUUCAAAGCAUAUUAUGGAUUGGUCUCGCUGAGAAGUAUUACUUGUGUAAAGUCUCAUAGUGCAUAAUCUUUCUAAAUGCUUUGCUUUGAAGUUGAGCCUUGUGAGAAGUUAUGUGAUUUGAAUUGUGUAAUUUCUGUACCUGCUGAGUAAAUGAUAUUGAUAUGGUGGGAUCGGGUUGUGCGUCGCAACAAGUGUAAUAAAGGUGGAUUGUAGUGGGAUAAGGGGUGAACUGUGAUUGUGGUUAUUGUGAUACGGUGGGAUCGGGUUUCAUGCCACAACAAGUGUAAUAAGGGUGAAUUGUGGUGAAAUAAGGGUGAACUGUGAUUGUGAUUAUUGUGCUAUGGUGGGAUCGGGUUGCACGCCGCAACAAUCUUUAUGCUUAUAUUUUCCCUUAACUGUGCUAGUUGAACGGUAGUCUUAAACUAUACUUGAGGAUUGGUUAUAGCUGAGCACUGAUGAUAUGUUUCGAGAACUAUAUUUGCCACACCUCCUUUUUACUACACCCGUAAGGGUAUAAGGGAGUUUUUUCUAAUUUAAGUGACAAUCGAAACGAGAUUAUUUAUUUAAGAAUCAGAGUCUCCACUUGGGAUAAUUAAUGGUGUCCCAAGUCACCUAUUUAAAAUCCUGAAUCGAGGAAGAUUGACUCUAUUUCACGGUUCGUGAACACAGAAAUCCAGGUAAGGAAUUUUGUUAACCGGGGAGAAGGUGUUAGGCAUUCCCGGGUUUCAUGGUUCUAGCACGAUCUCUCAACAUUAUUAUUGGCCUAUUAUCCGAUUUAUUACAUGUUUUAAACCUAUUGUGCAUUUUUAACUUAUUAACCGCUUUUAAUAAUUUUAAAACGCUUUUAGGAAGAUUCAAUGUUAUUUAAAACAUGCCUUGAACCACGUCACAUGAAAUGCACCCGCGAUUCGCGACACUUUCUAUUUAACAUUGUUAAGAAUUGAAAUUGGGUCACAUGAAAUAUACACCCGAAUUUAGUAAUUAAAAGAAAGUCAAUUUAAAGAACGCGCCUAAAGCAACUACGAAAGUUCAAAUUAAUAACAAAAAGUUUGCGUGGGCUAUAGAAAAUUCAAUUGAUGGCACACCUCAAAUUAUUUUUAAAGGGAUUACACCUAACUAAACCUACGGUUAUUUGCAUCCAAACUUGAGCUCAAACCAAUGAUUAAUGUGCAAAGCAAAGCAAAGCAAACGAGCCCAAAUCUGAUCAUAGUGGGAACUGGACCAACAGCAGGCCCAGUGUACCAACGCACGCCUCUUCUUUCUUUUCUUUUUUUUAAAUAAAGAGAUGGGUAUUAACACUCAUUGGACUCAAAAUUGAGCCCAAAUGUAAACCAAGCAAUUAAAUCCAACGCAUGCCAAAAUGACAGACGAUUGCUGAGGCCCAAAAAUUAUUGCUCUGGGUCGUUCGUAGACAAGUUAUACAGACCCUAUAUCCAUACACAUUCAUUGAGCAACCAAUGACAAACAGUCUGGGACUUCACUUUUUAAUAUAUUUCAAUCGAUUUCAAUCUCAAAUUUACUAAAUGAAACCAUAUUUUACUACACAUGAUUCCAAAAUCAAGAUUACCAUUCAUGUUAACCACAGAAUCCUAGAUUAUAAACUACUUGCUAAUCUUAACCGUGAUUCCACUAAAACAUGCUAUUAAUCACGAAAAGAGGUCAAAUUCUGAAAUUCACCCAAAAGAUCAACAUUAUAUCUAUACCUAACAUCAUGCUUAACAAUACAAACACUUGAACUUACAUCUCAACAAUCAUUUGAAAGAAACCGUCCCAAAUAGUUACAACUACUAAGUAUAACAAAUUGUUUAACACUUAGGAAUAAACUAAGACAACUUAAACAUUCAAAUCAUCCAUCUAUACUAAGUCAGCAUUGACAAACUUAAAAUAAAAUCGAAACAGUAUCAUGAGCAACAAACAAAGAAGCAUCCAGCCAGGUGACCUAAAAUCCCAUUCCAAAUCAGUAUUUUACAAGUUCAUAUUAUCACUUCAAGCUCGGAAAUAUACCUGGAAUAAUAAGACACAAGCAACAGAACUUCAGCAAGAAAUAUCAUCAGCUUUUAAUCAACAGUAACCAAACAAUCAUCAACCAGCUACCAACAUGCUUUGAGUCCAGAAAAUAGUAGUGAUUCAAGCUUCUAAAAACCAAAAAAUGUGAAGAAAAGCCUGGUUGCAAUGAAAUAGUGCUCGAUUUUUUUGUGUUUUUUCUAGUUAUCAAAACUCUAUGUAUUUCAGUGUUCUAAUUGCAAAAAGAAACGGUGCUUGUUAUUCUCAGUCGUUUCUCAGUCUUGGUAUUGUAAAAAUCUCUUUGACAAUGAAGGAAACAAGCCUCUUAUAGAAAGCCCUUAGGGCAGCAGAAUUGAUGUUUUACUUUACCAUUUACCCCUUGUUCAAAUCCCCUUUUGUU